UGCAACAAGAGCUCCGAUCAGCUCGCAGA
RNAcentral lists this small RNA (29 nucleotides) under Bombyx mori (domestic silkworm). RNAcentral describes it as "ovarian small RNA-33300". The record is from RNAcentral. Lineage: Eukaryota; Metazoa; Arthropoda; Insecta; Lepidoptera; Bombycidae.